AGNNNACNUCCAACUGCGAAAGCAUUCGCAGAGGAUGUUUUCAUUGAUCUGGAGCGAAAGUCACAGGUUCGAAGACGAUCAGAUACCGUCCUACUUCUGACCAUAAACGAUGCCAACUGACGAUCCGUGGGUGUUUUAAUGACCCCACGGGCAGUCCCCGGGAAACUUAAGUCUUUGGGCUCCGGGGGAAGUAUGGUUGCAAAGCUGAAACUUAAAGGAAUUGACGGAAGGGCACCACCAGGAGUGGAGCCUGCGGCUUAAUUCGACUCAACACGGGAAAACUCACCCGGCCCGGACACUGUGAGGAUUGACAGAUUGAUAGCUCUUUCUUGAUUCGGUGGUUGGUGGUGCAUGGCCGUUCUUAGUUGGUGGAGCGAUUUGUCUGGUUAAUUCCGAUAACGAACGAGACUUUGGCCUGCUAAAUAGUUACCUGGUCCUCUUGCUUGUUUAGGCGUUUUACUGCCACUUGGGGUGUUCAGCCGCAUGUGGCCGUGUUAUAACAGGACAAUUGGGCCCCGGGAAGCCCCGG
This 529-nucleotide ribosomal RNA is filed under the name Allocreadium mazoense. Its description in RNAcentral is "bacterial SSU rRNA". It matches the Rfam family "Eukaryotic small subunit ribosomal RNA", at positions 930 to 1485 of the family's 1831-position model. The record is from RNAcentral. Lineage: Eukaryota; Metazoa; Platyhelminthes; Trematoda; Plagiorchiida; Allocreadiidae.